GAUGAAGAACGCAGUGAAAUGCGAUACUUGGUGUGAAUUGCAGAAUCCCGUGAACCAUCGAGUCUUUGAACGCAAGUUGCGCCCGAAGCCAUUAGGCCGAGGGCACGCCUGCCUGGGCGUCACACAUCGUUGCCCCCCCAUCUACUCCUUCGGGAUUGCGGGGGGCGGAUGAUGGCCUCCCGUGCGCCUCGUCGCGCGGUUGGCAUAAAUGCCAAGUCCUCGGCGACGCACGCCACGACAAUCGGUGGUUGCGAAACCUCGGUUGCCCGUCGUGUGCGGUCGUCGCGCAUCGAGGGCUCGAAAAAAUUGCCGGGCUCCGGCUCGGCUUUCAACGCGACCCCAGGUCAGGCGGGGUUACCCGCUGAAUUUAAGCAUAUCAAUAAGCGGAGGA
This 391-nucleotide unclassified non-coding RNA is filed under the name soil metagenome. RNAcentral's name for it is "partial contains 5.8S ribosomal RNA, internal transcribed spacer 2, and large subunit ribosomal RNA". The stretch from base 1 to 122 matches the Rfam family "5.8S ribosomal RNA", at positions 35 to 154 of the family's 154-position model. The record is from RNAcentral.